AUUGAACGCUGGCGGCAUGCUUUACACAUGCAAGUCGAACGGUAACAGGUUAAGCUGACGAGUGGCGAACGGGUGAGUAAUGCAUCGGAACGUGCCCGGUCGUGGGGGAUAACGCAGCGAAAGCUGCGCUAAUACCGCAUACGAUCUGAGGAUGAAAGCGGGGGACCGUAAGGCCUCGCGCGAUCGGAGCGGCCGAUGUCAGAUUAGGUAGUUGGUGGGGGAAAGGCUCACCAAGCCAACGAUCUGUAGCUGGUCUGGGAGGCCGAACAGCCACGCGGGGACUGAACCACGGCCCAGACUCCUACGGGGGGAAGCAGGGGGGAAUUUUGGACAAUGGGCGAAAGCCUGAUCCAGCAAUGCCGCGUGCAGGAAGAAGGCCUUCGGGUUGUAAACUGCUUUUGUACGGAGCGAAAAGGUCUCCUCUAAUACAGGGGGCUCAUGACGGUACCGUAAGAAUAAGCACCGGCUAACUACGUGCCAGCAGCCGCCGUAA
Molecule: ribosomal RNA, 493 nt
Filed under: uncultured bacterium
Lineage: Bacteria
Description: partial 16S ribosomal RNA
Rfam family: Bacterial small subunit ribosomal RNA
Source: RNAcentral